Long non-coding RNA from Scomber japonicus (chub mackerel), 469 nucleotides. RefSeq lists it as uncharacterized. The transcript is spliced from 4 exons. The record is from RefSeq and is a predicted model, not a curated record. NCBI's taxonomy places the organism in Eukaryota, Metazoa, Chordata, Actinopteri, Scombriformes, Scombridae.
AGUCCAGGUCUCCACACGGCACACAUUCGGGUAAAAACUAUCCAGGAAGAUAAUUCAACAGACACUUGUGCACAGAGAAGCGACGUGUUGUGAAAACAUGAAGACUGUGAUUCUUGCUUUCCUGGUGUUGUUGGUUGUCAGUCAGGGUGAGUCCUUGACAUGUUUCUGUGGAGGUGUCCAGAAACACUGUACAAGUCCAAUAGAGACGUGCUCUGGAUCAAGCACUUUCUGUGGCAAAGUCACGCUUCCUGGUGUAAUCCUUCCCGUCAUCCAGGGCUGCAUGACAUCAAACGACUGUAAGCGUUUCAAUAGCCGCGAAAUAUCAUCUAAUUGCUGCAGCACAUAUCUGUGCAACAGAUAAAUGAACAUCAUCAUUAUGAACAUCAACAUAUCUUGCAACACAUUAAUAUUCUGCUGUGUGUGUUCCAGUAUCUUUGUAAUAAAAAGCAAUGUGUUGCAAAUUUAUCUA